AUUGAACGCUGGCGGCAGGCCUAACACAUGCAAGUCGAGCGGAUGAACGCUGCUUUCUCCUGGAUUCCGCGUCGGACGGGUGAGUAAUGCCUAUGAAUCUCCCUGGUUGUGGGGGAUAACGUCCGCAAGCGGGCGCUACUACCGCAUGCGUCCUGCUGGUGCAACUUGGGGAUCUUCGGACCUCACGCUAUCAUAUGAGCCUAGGUCGGAUUAGAUAGUUGGUGGGGUAAAGGCCUACCUAGGCGACGAUCCGUAACUGGUCUGAGAGGAUGAUCAGUCACACUGGAACUGAGACACGGUCAAGACUCCUAAGGGAGGCAGCAGUGGGGAAUAUUGGACAAUGGGCGAAAGCAUGAUCCAGCCAGGCCGCGUGUGUGAAGAAGGUGUUCGGAUUGUAAAGCACGUUAAGUGGGGAGGAAGGGCAGUAAGUUAAUACCUUGCUGGUUUGACGGUACCAACAGAAUAAGCACCGGCUAACUACGUG
RNAcentral lists this ribosomal RNA (484 nucleotides) under uncultured bacterium. RNAcentral's name for it is "partial 16S ribosomal RNA". It matches the Rfam family "Bacterial small subunit ribosomal RNA", at positions 30 to 507 of the family's 1533-position model. The record is from RNAcentral.